AUACGGAGGGUGCAAGCGUUAUUCGGAAUCACUGGGCGUAAAGAACGCGUAGGCGGGUUGGCAAGUCAGAUGUGAAAUCCUACAGCUUAACUGUAGAACUGCAUUUGAAACUGCUAACCUAGAGUAUGGGAGGGGGAGAUGGAAUUAGUGGUGUAGGGGUAAAAUCCGUAGAUAUCACUAGGAAUACCGAAAGCGAAGGCGAUCUCCUGGAACAUAACUGACGCUAAGGCGUGAAAGCGUGGGGAGCAAACAGGAUUAGAUACCCUAGUAGUCC
This 274-nucleotide ribosomal RNA is filed under the name uncultured bacterium. Its description in RNAcentral is "partial 16S ribosomal RNA". It matches the Rfam family "Bacterial small subunit ribosomal RNA", at positions 523 to 796 of the family's 1533-position model. The record is from RNAcentral.